CAAGAAUGAAAACACCACGUUUGUGAGUCACACCAGGCCUGUCCCACAGGCAAGGGGUACGCAUGUGGGGGUUGGAGAAGCCUGGGGCUGGAAGAGGAGGCAGAGGCUCAGAGGCUCCUCAGCUGCCAGGCAGACACACAUGGAGGACAGAGAGGUUCCAGAUCAACAGCCCUCCUGGUGGGCCAUCCACUCACCAGAUGUCUGAGCCCUCACUCACAGGACUCUGCUCGAUGAUCUCUGGGGACACGAAUUCAGGUGUAGACACCGGCAUCGUGUGGAGUCACGUCCAUCAACACCAAGGAAUAUGUAGUUCCACCUUGCUGCUGCCUCAGCCGGGUACCGUUCACCAGCUGGUUGCUGUCCUGGACAAACAGGGCUACCAUCAGCCUAUCCUGGGAUGUGCCAGCCCCCGACUCACACACGCUUCCUGGAGCAGCACUUCCAAUACCUGCUGUGUGCCCAGCCCCAGGGGCAGGCCAGAAGUGGGAUAGGAAGGUACUGAAUUGGGCUGCAGGGGGGGCUUUGGAGUGGGGGGUUGCAGGUUGCAUGAUGGGGUGCAUGAGCCCCAUUCCACACGUCCACUUAAUCUCACCCAUGCCCUCCAGCUCCUGAAGCCUGUCCCCUCCCCCUGCUGCCUGGGCCUACUCCUCCUACCUUGUACCAGGUCACUGUUGGCGGUGGGUUGCCUUCAAUGACAGCAUCAAACUGUGCCAUGUCACCCACUUGUACUUGUAGGUCCUCGAUAGUGACCUGCAUGGAUGGGGCCCCUGGGAGAGGUGGGAAGAGAGCCUGUGUGGAGGGACCCUCGGGAAUUCAUAGCCCUGGGUGCACAGCCCACUUAGGUGUACAUCUGUGGUCAGUAAAGCCUUGACUUAUGUCCCUUC
This 884-nucleotide long non-coding RNA is filed under the name Rattus norvegicus (Norway rat). RNAcentral describes it as "long non-coding RNA NONRATT004335". Lineage: Eukaryota; Metazoa; Chordata; Mammalia; Rodentia; Muridae. The record is from RNAcentral.